Molecule: ribosomal RNA, 1073 nt
Filed under: Salmonella enterica subsp. enterica serovar Agona str. 31.H.09
Lineage: Bacteria; Pseudomonadati; Pseudomonadota; Gammaproteobacteria; Enterobacterales; Enterobacteriaceae
Description: bacterial SSU rRNA
Rfam family: Bacterial small subunit ribosomal RNA
Source: RNAcentral
AGAGCUUGCUCUCGGGCGAACGGUAACAGGAAGCAGCUUGCUGCUUCGCUGACGAGUGGCGGACGGGUGAGUAAUGUCUGGGAAACUGCCUGAUGGAGGGGGAUAACUACUGGAAACGGUGGCUAAUACCGCAUAACGUCGCAAGACCAAAGAGGGGGACCUUCGGGCCUCUUGCCAUCAGAUGUGCCCAGAUGGGAUUAGCUUGUUGGUGAGGUAACGGCUCACCAAGGCGACGAUCCCUAGCUGGUCUGAGAGGAUGACCAGCCACACUGGAACUGAGACACGGUCCAGACUCCUACGGGAGGCAGCAGUGGGGAAUAUUGCACAAUGGGCGCAAGCCUGAUGCAGCCAUGCCGCGUGUAUGAAGAAGGCCUUCGGGUUGUAAAGUACUUUCAGCGGGGAGGAAGGUGUUGUGGUUAAUAACCGCAGCAAUUGACGUUACCCGCAGAAGAAGCACCGGCUAACUCCGUGCCAGCAGCCGCGGUAAUACGGAGGGUGCAAGCGUUAAUCGGAAUUACUGGGCGUAAAGCGCACGCAGGCGGUCUGUCAAGUCGGAUGUGAAAUCCCCGGGCUCAACCUGGGAACUGCAUUCGAAACUGGCAGGCUUGAGUCUUGUAGAGGGGGGUAGAAUUCCAGGUGUAGCGGUGAAAUGCGUAGAGAUCUGGAGGAAUACCGGUGGCGAAGGCGGCCCCCUGGACAAAGACUGACGCUCAGGUGCGAAAGCGUGGGGAGCAAACAGGAUUAGAUACCCUGGUAGUCCACGCCGUAAACGAUGUCUACUUGGAGGUUGUGCCCUUGAGGCGUGGCUUCCGGAGCUAACGCGUUAAGUAGACCGCCUGGGGAGUACGGCCGCAAGGUUAAAACUCAAAUGAAUUGACGGGGGCCCGCACAAGCGGUGGAGCAUGUGGUUUAAUUCGAUGCAACGCGAAGAACCUUACCUGGUCUUGACAUCCACGGAAGUUUUCAGAGAUGAGAAUGUGCCUUCGGGAACCAAGAACCUUACCUGGUCUUGACAUCCACAGAAGAAUCCAGAGAUGGAUUUGUGCCUUCGGGAACUGUGAGACAGGUGCUGC